Molecule: ribosomal RNA, 327 nt
Filed under: uncultured eukaryote
Lineage: Eukaryota
Description: partial 18S ribosomal RNA
Rfam family: Eukaryotic small subunit ribosomal RNA
Source: RNAcentral
CCCUUAGAUGUUCUGGGCCGCACACGCGCUACACUGAAGGAGGCAGCGUGUACUCCUGGAUCGAAAGAUUUGGGUAACCCGCGAAUCUCCUUCGUGCUAGGGAUUGAGGUUUGCAAUUAUCCUUCAUGAACGAGGAAUUCCCAGUAAGUGCAAGUCAUAAGCUUGCGCUGACUACGUCCCUGCCCUUUGUACGCACCGCCCGUCGCUACUACCGAUUGAAUGAUUUAGUGAGGACUUCGGACUGGGACCGAUGCGGCUUUCGGGCUGCGUCGGUAUUCUGGAAAGAUGUCCAAACUGUAUCAUUUAGAGGAAGUAAAANUCGUAACA